This 500-nucleotide ribosomal RNA is filed under the name uncultured bacterium. RNAcentral's name for it is "partial 16S ribosomal RNA". It matches the Rfam family "Bacterial small subunit ribosomal RNA", at positions 28 to 507 of the family's 1533-position model. The record is from RNAcentral.
GACGAACGCUGGCGGCGUGCCUAAUACAUGCAAGUCGAGCGGACUGAUUAAGAGCUUGCUCUUAUGACGUUAGCGGCGGACGGGUGAGUAACACGUGGGCAACCUGCCCUGUAGAUCGGGAUAACACCGAGAAAUCGGUGCUAAUACCGGGUAAUAUCUGAGAUCACAUGAUCUUAGGUUAAAAGAUGGCUCCGGCUAUCACUACAGGGUGGGCCCGCGGCGCAUUAGCUAGUUGGUAAGGUAAUGGCUUACCAAGGCGACGAUGCGUAGCCGACCUGAGAGGGUGAUCGGCCACACUGGGACUGAGACACGGCCCAGACUCCUACGGGAGGCAGCAGUAGGGAAUCUUCCGCAAUGGACGAAAGUCUGACGGAGCAACGCCGCGUGAGUGAUGAAGGGUUUCGGCUCGUAAAGCUCUGUUGUUAGGGAAGAAACAGUACCGAACGAACUAGGUCGGUACCUUGACGGUACCUAACCAGAAAGCCACGGCUAACUACGUG